This 662-nucleotide ribosomal RNA is filed under the name Enterococcus sp. RNAcentral's name for it is "bacterial SSU rRNA". It matches the Rfam family "Bacterial small subunit ribosomal RNA", at positions 107 to 755 of the family's 1533-position model. The record is from RNAcentral. Lineage: Bacteria; Bacillati; Bacillota; Bacilli; Lactobacillales; Enterococcaceae.
UGAGUAACACGUGGGUAACCUGCCCAUCAGAAGGGGAUAACACUUGGAAACAGGUGCUAAUACCGUAUAACAAUCGAAACCGCAUGGUUUUGAUUUGAAAGGCGCUUUCGGGUGUCGCUGAUGGAUGGACCCGCGGUGCAUUACCUACCUGGGGAGGGAACGGCUCACCAAGGCCACAAUGCAUAGCCGACCUGAGAGGGUGAUCGGCCACGUUGGGACUGAGACACGGACCAAACUCCUACUGUAGGCACCAGAACGGAAUCUUCCGCUAUGGACCAAGGUCUGACCGACCAACGCCGCAUGAGUGAACAAUGUUUUCGGAUCGUAAAACUCUGAUGUGAGAAAGGAACAAGGAUGACAGUAACUGUUCAUCCCUUGACCGCAUCUAACCAGAAAGCCACGGCUAACUACGUGCCAUCAGCCGCGGGAAUACGCACGCGGCGAGCGUUGUCCGGAGUUAUUGGUGGUAAAGUGAGCGCAGGCGGCUUCUUAAGUCUGAUGUGAAAUCCCCCGGCUCAACCGGGGAGGGUCAUUGGAAACUGGGAUACUUGACUGCAUAACAAGACACUGGAAUUCCAUGUGAAGCGAUGAAAUGCUUAGAUAUAUGGAUGAACACCUAUGUCUACGGCUUUUCUCUGUUCUGUAACUGACGCUGACGCUCG